Molecule: ribosomal RNA, 175 nt
Filed under: uncultured eukaryote
Lineage: Eukaryota
Description: partial small subunit ribosomal RNA
Source: RNAcentral
GUACACACCGCCCGUCGCUGCUACCGAUUGGAUGAUCCGGUGAAAUCUCURGAUCGUGUUAAAAUACUCUGGGUAACACUAGAGUUUUAAURUGCGAGAAGUUGAUUAAACCUUAUCAUCUAGAGGAAGCAAAAGUCGUAACAAGGUUUCCGUAGGUGAACCUGCAGAAGGAUCA